UAUUUGAUGAUUGUAGGGAGCACCCUUUAUGGGUGGCAAAUUGGCCUUGUAAAUGGUCUAUUUUUGCCCACACGGGCAGAGACAUGGGCGUGUGUCUCAACCGUGUUGCUCGAGGGCCAUUUCGAAAUGAGCCUGAGUAGACCACACGAUCGCACACAUAGGCGUGUGCUAGGCCGUGUGGCCAAGUCAGUUUGGAGCACGGGCUAGACACAUGAGUGUGUGACUGGCUGUGUGACCCAAGUCAG
Molecule: long non-coding RNA, 245 nt
Filed under: Gossypium barbadense (sea-island cotton)
Lineage: Eukaryota; Viridiplantae; Streptophyta; Magnoliopsida; Malvales; Malvaceae
Description: long non-coding RNA (GBAR_LNC001354)
Source: RNAcentral